UUCUACUAAAUCUAUACACUAAUGUUCAUACAAACGGCCAUAUUAUACCAAAAAGAGAUCGCUAUUCCUGACUAAUGAUGGCAUAAAUAAUCAUGAACGCAGACCUCUCUCCAGAACUGUGAUGAGGAAAUGUUGAAUAACUCAGUCUUACAGACACGGUUUAUAGCUCUCCACGCAUGAUUGGUCAUCGUUGAUAGACAUGGUCCGUCUGACGCUCCAGGAUCGAAAUGAAAGAUGUCGUUCUGAAACCUGCAUUUAAGUGAUCUGGAAUAUUCAACACCGCAGAUGGCAUGGUAGGACUCUUGAGGAAUUUCCAGGUCUGCUUCGGAUGUAAGAAAGUAUGACAAAACAAAACCAAACUUGGAUUUGGGUUUUGCUUUGUGCAAUUGACUGCGCCUUCUGUGACGUUGACAUUCUUGCACCGGAAGUCAUAGUUCUACAGAGAAGCGGACUGGAAAUAACGUGUAGACCCUCAAAGGAUGGAGAGACUAUUGAUAGAGUGACCAGUAUCGUCCUACUCAGUAACAGGGCCGCGCCCUUCACCAGCAGCGUGUCCCAGAUAGCCCGGGCCGUCAACAGGAACACCAACGAAACCAUGCUGACCAAGUACUGGACAGACAAAAGAUACAAACUUACAGGUAAAACCGGCAACCCUCUCGUGUCCUACCUGAAGCUGACAAUCAGCAGAACGGAAGUGUCGUGUGAGGACUCAGCGCACUAUAGGUGUCAAAUGGAAACCAUUAUGGCGGACGGAAGUGUAAAGACAUACAUCAAAGAUACGCAAAUAUCCAUAUCUGCUACCGAAACAUUGAUUUAUGACAGUAUGAAAGUUUACCCCAAGAGUCAAAGCAGCACACCGUACGGGCAGUAUCCACUCAACACUGAGCUAACACUGUCAUGUUCAGCGUUAGUCGAAAGUGAAAGUAGAGACUUGACAUGGUGCAUCUACACCGGAUACUCAACAAAAGCAAUGGAGUACGAUACUGUAAAGAGAAGUCGAGUGAGAAUGAACAAGCCGUGUGCCUACCAUUUACUCAGUGAAAUUCAAUAUGUGCUCAGUGAAAGUAAUGUUUUUACCUGGAUUAUUUGUAAAUUCGGUACCUGUGACACCUCCACAGACAAAUCCAAUGUGUUUUCUGCCUUCACUUAUUCUGAAGGAUAUAAAAACAUUUCUAACAUCGAAGUCCUUUUGACCACCUCUGUACCAGUCGAUAAAGCUUCAUCAGCCAGUUCUGCCGAAGUGAUUUCUAUAAUCUCAAUUACCAUGGUCUUUUUGCUGGUAUCGUUUGUACUAGCAGCGUUAUGGCUGUAUAAACGCAAAACAUCAGACAGUAACAAGAAGAUUACACUCCAAAAUUUGAGAAAUUACUUUAGAAGUAGGAGUAUAGAUUCCGUCAGUGAAAGCUGUCAAACAGAUAUUUCAACAACGAUUACGUCAGAGAACGAUAGUUCCAGUCAGCGAUCAUCGAAGGGCAUGUCUGAGAGUGUAAAAUCAAAUUAAUGCUUGUUCAGUAUGACAAAGAUGUGGGCGUCUUUUUUACUUGAUUCUUAGCCUCGACGCUAUGGGAGUAAUGAACUGAAUACAAAACUAUAGCGUUUGAAAGCAAAGAAGAAAAUACCUACGCUUCACUGGAUUAUGAGACUCCAUGAGGAUGAUUUAUUUUACUAGGCAUAUUGCAAUAGAGCUGAAUCAUUGCCCACACGUAUCAUUGUGUGUUGUUCUUAAUAAAUUACACUGCUAUGACCAAAG
This is an RNA transcript of Magallana angulata, 1750 nucleotides long. RefSeq lists it as uncharacterized. NCBI's taxonomy places the organism in Eukaryota, Metazoa, Mollusca, Bivalvia, Ostreida, Ostreidae. The record is from RefSeq and is a predicted model, not a curated record. The transcript is spliced from 12 exons.